This 735-nucleotide long non-coding RNA is filed under the name Dromaius novaehollandiae (emu). Its description in RNAcentral is "lncRNA (ENSDNVG00000006758.1)". Lineage: Eukaryota; Metazoa; Chordata; Aves; Casuariiformes; Dromaiidae. The record is from RNAcentral.
CUUACGGGAUCCAGCGGGAGCAAAGGGCACUGCGUUCUCAUGGCUCCGGCCGGCGGCGGGGCCGGUUCCUCCCGCCGUCCCGCCGCCCCCCCCGGGAUCUUCUGGAUCGAUACAGCAAGUGCAUUGAGACUGUAGCAACACAUUUAAAACCUUAUAAAAGGUUAUUUAGUUGCUAACAGUGCAGCAGUUUCUGCAAAGCCUGCCAAAAGGUUACAGCUUUUUGGGCAUCAUAAAUUACAGACGACAGGGAAAAAAACGUCAGCUGCCGCGGGGCAGGAUCCCAGUCCAGCCCGGCGGGAUCGCCGCAUCCUCGCCCCGGCCGCGGAGGGACCUGCCGCCCGCGGAGCCCUGCCUGCGCCUCGUCCUUGGAAGCGAUGAACACGCUCCCGGCCUCGUACCCACGUCUCGCCCGGCCGCGGCGAGCAGACGAGCCCAGCCGCGGCGGGGCGGGAGGGAAGCGGCCCGCAGCCCGCCGUCCUUAGCAGCGAUGAUCGCUUGUGCAAGCGUGCAGACGCGGCCGGGGAAGAUGGGACGGGAGAUAAAUGGGAGGGAGUCGACUGGCUGCAACUUAAGAUGUGCCUGCAUGCUGCUGCACCGGUUUAUCAUGAUAAAUGUCAUAGGAAAAUCAAUUCUCUGUGUACUUUUGGGAAUUACAACUAUCAUUUUGGUGUGAUUUAUUUGCUGUAUAACACGGACACGGGCUCUUUGUUCAUCAUUUUGAAAGUUCAUUUAAAA